Molecule: ribosomal RNA, 1193 nt
Filed under: Streptomyces rhizoryzae
Lineage: Bacteria; Bacillati; Actinomycetota; Actinomycetes; Kitasatosporales; Streptomycetaceae
Description: partial 23S ribosomal RNA
Rfam family: Bacterial large subunit ribosomal RNA
Source: RNAcentral
GGUGAUCCGUCUUGCACGGUGAGCUGGGGGUGGCCGCAGAGACCAGCGAGAAGCGACUGUUUACUAAAAACACAGGUCCGUGCGAAGCCGUAAGGCGAUGUAUACGGACUGACGCCUGCCCGGUGCUGGAACGUUAAGGGGACCGGUUAGCUCCAUUUCGGUGGGGCGAAGCUGAGAACUUAAGCGCCAGUAAACGGCGGUGGUAACUAUAACCAUCCUAAGGUAGCGAAAUUCCUUGUCGGGUAAGUUCCGACCUGCACGAAUGGCGUAACGACUUCUCGACUGUCUCAACCAUAGGCCCGGUGAAAUUGCAUUACGAGUAAAGAUGCUCGUUUCGCGCAGCAGGACGGAAAGACCCCGGGACCUUUACUAUAGCUUGAUAUUGGUGUUCGGUUCGGCUUGUGUAGGAUAGGUGGGAGACUGUGAAGCGCCAACGCCAGUUGGUGUGGAGUCGUUGUUGAAAUACCACUCUGGUCGUGCUGGAUGUCUAACCUGGGUCCGUGAUCCGGAUCAGGGACAGUGUCUGGUGGGUAGUUUAACUGGGGCGGUUGCCUCCUAAAGGGUAACGGAGGCGCCCAAAGGUUCCCUCAGCCUGGUUGGUAAUCAGGUGUUGAGUGUAAGUGCACAAGGGAGCUUGACUGUGAGACUGACGGGUCGAGCAGGUACGAAAGUAGGGACUAGUGAUCCGGCGGUGGCUUGUGGAAGCGCCGUCGCUCAACGGAUAAAAGGUACCCCGGGGAUAACAGGCUGAUCUUCCCCAAGAGUCCAUAUCGACGGGAUGGUUUGGCACCUCGAUGUCGGCUCGUCGCAUCCUGGGGCUGGAGUCGGUCCCAAGGGUUGGGCUGUUCGCCCAUUAAAGCGGUACGCGAGCUGGGUUUAGAACGUCGUGAGACAGUUCGGUCCCUAUCCGCUGUGCGCGUAGGAGUCUUGAGAAGGGCUGUCCCUAGUACGAGAGGACCGGGACGGACGGACCUCUGGUGUGCCAGUUGUUCUGCCAAGGGCAUGGCUGGUUGGCUACGUUCGGAAAGGAUAACCGCUGAAAGCAUCUAAGCGGGAAGCCUGCUUCGAGAUGAGGGCUCCCUCCUCCUUUGAGAGGGUAAGGCUCCCAGUAGAUGACUGGGUUGAUAGGCCAGAUAUGGAAGCAUCGUAAGGUGUGGAGUUGACUGGUACUAAUAGGCCGAGGGCUUGUCCUC